RNAcentral lists this ribosomal RNA (501 nucleotides) under uncultured bacterium. Its description in RNAcentral is "partial 16S ribosomal RNA". It matches the Rfam family "Bacterial small subunit ribosomal RNA", at positions 899 to 1397 of the family's 1533-position model. The record is from RNAcentral.
ACUCAAAGGAAUUGACGGGGGCCCGCACAAGCGGUGGAGCAUGUGGUUUAAUUCGAUGCAACGCGAAGAACCUUACCUGGGCUCGAAGUGCUUUGUAAACCCAUGAAAGUGGGCUAGUCCCGCAAGGGACGCGAAGCAUAGGUGCUGCAUGGCUGUCGUCAGCUCGUGUCGUGAGAUGUUAGGUUAAGUCCUGCAACGAGCGCAACCCUUGUCCUUAGUUGCCAUCAGGUUAUGCUGGGAACUCUAAGGAGACUGCCGACGUCAAGUCGGAGGAAGGUGGGGAUGACGUCAAGUCCUCAUGGCCCUUACGUCCAGGGCUACACACGUGCUACAAUGGCCGGUACAGAGCGUCGCAAGACCGCAAGGUGGAGCUAAUCGCAAAAAACCGGUCUCAGUUCAGAUUGUCCUCUGCAACUCGAGGACAUGAAGUUGGAAUCGCUAGUAAACGCGGAUCAGCAGGUCGCGUUGAAUACGUUCCCGGGCCUUGUACACACCGCCCGU